GACGAACGCUGGCGGCGUGCUUAACACAUGCAAGUCGAACGGUGAAGCGCCUUCCUUCUUGGUGGGUGUGGAUGAGUGGCGAACGGGUGAGUAACACGUGAGUAACCUGCCCCCUUCUUCUGGAUAACCGCAUGAAAGUGUGGCUAAUACGGGAUAUUCUGGGUCUGUCGCAUGAUGGGUCUGGGAAAGAUAUUGUUUCGGUGGGGGAUGGGCUCGCGGCCUAUCAGCUUGUUGGUGGGGUGAUGGCCUACCAAGGCGGUGACGGGUAGCCGGCCUGAGAGGGUGGACGGUCACACUGGGACUGAGACACGGCCCAGACUCCUACGGGAGGCAGCAGUGGGGAAUAUUGCACAAUGGGCGCAAGCCUGAUGCAGCGACGCCGCGUGAGGGAUGGAGGCCUGCGGGUUGUGAACCUCUUUCGCCAGUGAAGCAGGCCUGCCUCGUUUGUGGGUGGGUUGACGGUAGCUGGAGAAGAAGCGCCGGCUAACUACGUG
This 494-nucleotide ribosomal RNA is filed under the name uncultured bacterium. RNAcentral describes it as "partial 16S ribosomal RNA". It matches the Rfam family "Bacterial small subunit ribosomal RNA", at positions 28 to 507 of the family's 1533-position model. The record is from RNAcentral.